UACAGAGGGUGCGAGCGUUGUCCGGAAUCACUGGGCGUAAAGGGCGCGUAGGUGGCGGCCCAAGUCCAUGGUGAAAGCUCGAUGCUCAACAUCGAGUCGGCCACGGAUACUGGGUUGCUCGAGCACUGUAGGGGCAGAUGGAAUUCCGGGUGUAGCGGUGGAAUGCGUAGAGAUCCGGAAGAACACCGGUGGCGAAGGCGGUCUGCUGGGACGGUACUGACGCUGAGGCGCGAAAGCGUGGGGAGCGAACAGG
This 253-nucleotide ribosomal RNA is filed under the name uncultured bacterium. Its description in RNAcentral is "partial 16S ribosomal RNA". It matches the Rfam family "Bacterial small subunit ribosomal RNA", at positions 524 to 776 of the family's 1533-position model. The record is from RNAcentral.